RNAcentral lists this ribosomal RNA (305 nucleotides) under uncultured bacterium. RNAcentral's name for it is "bacterial SSU rRNA". It matches the Rfam family "Bacterial small subunit ribosomal RNA", at positions 334 to 639 of the family's 1533-position model. The record is from RNAcentral.
AGGUCCUACGGGGGGCAGCAGUGGGGAAUAUUGCACAAUGGGGGAAACCCUGAUGCAGCGACGCCGCGUGAGUGAAGAAGUAUUUCGGUAUGUAAAGCUCUAUCAGCAGGGAAGAAAUAGCGACCUUUGGGUCGCCAGACGGUACCUGACUAAGAAGCCCCGGCUAACUACGUGCCAGCAGCCGCGGUAAUACGGAGGAUGCGAGCGUUAUCCGGAUUUAUUGGGUUUAAAGGGUGCGUAGGCGGGCUUUUAAGUCAGCGGUAAGAAUUCGGGGCUCAACCCCGUCCGGCCGUUGAAACUGGGGG